GGCGCACGGGUGAGUAACGCAUAGGUAAUGUGCCCCUUAGUCUGGGAUAGCCACUGGAAACGGUGAUUAAUACUAGAUACUCCUUCUCAUUAUAAGAUGAGUCGGGAAAGUUUUUCGCUAAGGGAUCAGCCUAUGUCCUAUCAGCUAGUUGGUGAGGUAACGGCUCACCAAGGCUAUGACGGGUAUCUGGUUUGAGAGGAUGAUCAGACACACUGGAACUGAGACACGGUCCAGACUCCUACGGGAGGCAGCAGUGAGGAAUAUUGCACAAUGGAGGAAACUCUGAUGCAGCAACGCCGCGUGGAGGAUGACGCAUUUCGGUGUGUAAACUCCUUUUAAGAGGGAAGAUUAUGACGGUACCUCUUGAAUAAGCACCGGCUAACUCCGUGCCAGCAGCCGCGGUAAUACGGAGGGUGCAAGCGUUACUCGGAAUCACUGGGCGUAAAGGGUGCGUAGGCUGACUUUUAAGUCAGGCGUGAAAUCCAAUGGCUUAACCAUUGAACUGCGCUUGAAACUGGGAGUCUAGAGUUCAGAAGGGGCAGAUGGAAUUAGUGGUGUAGGGGUAAAAUCCGUAGAUAUCACUAGGAAUAUCAAAAGCGAAGGCGAUCUGCUGGGAUGAUACUGACGCUGAGGCACGAAAGCGUGGGGAGCAAACAGGAUUAGAUACCCUGGUAGUCCACGCCCUAAACGAUGAAUGCUAGUCGUCGGGGUACUCGUUACUUCGGUGAUGCACUUAACAGAUUAAGCAUUCCGCCUGGGGAGUACGGUCGCAAGAUUAAAACUCAAAGGAAUAGACGGGGACCCGCACAAGUGGUGGAGCAUGUGGUUUAAUUCGAAGAUACACGAAGAACCUUACCUGGGCCUUGACAUGGUAGGAACCCUUAAGAGAUUAGGGGGUGCUAGCUUGCUAGAACCUACACACAGGUGCUGCACGGCUGUCGUCAGCUCGUUGUCGUGAGAUGUUGGGUUUAAGUCCCCGCAACGAGCGCACCCUCCGUCGUUAAGUUUGCUAAACAAGUUUCGGCUGGAAGC
Molecule: ribosomal RNA, 1032 nt
Filed under: uncultured bacterium
Lineage: Bacteria
Description: bacterial SSU rRNA
Rfam family: Bacterial small subunit ribosomal RNA
Source: RNAcentral